UCCGUUUACCUUUCCGAAGUGCAAUCGGUGGACUAGGAAGAGACGAGUCCGCAGUAGGAGCAGGGUCAGGUGCAGGACAUAAAUCAGCUGGGCCUGAUACUGGGUGCGAACGACGUUGAUAUGUCAAAAGCGGUGUUCUUGUGACAGGGAGUCUAGGAGAGCCAUACUAGAUUCCUCAACCGAGGGAAUGGUUAAGACUUCAGUAGUGGAAGGUAAAGGAGAAUCUAUAGUAGGCU
RNAcentral lists this long non-coding RNA (236 nucleotides) under Nicotiana benthamiana. RNAcentral describes it as "long non-coding RNA (NBEN_LNC001337)". The record is from RNAcentral. Lineage: Eukaryota; Viridiplantae; Streptophyta; Magnoliopsida; Solanales; Solanaceae.